UGUGAGGCAUGCUGGAGGUAUCAGAAGUGCGAAUGCUGACAUAAGUAACGAUAAAGCGGGUGAAAAGCCCGCUCGCCGGAAGACCAAGGGUUCCUGUCCAACGUUAAUCGGGGCAGGGUGAGUCGACCCCUAAGGCGAGGCCGAAAGGCGUAGUCGAUGGGAAACAGGUUAAUAUUCCUGUACUUAGUGUUACUGCGAAGGGGGGACGGAGAAGGCUAUGUUAGCCGGGCGACGGUUGUCCCGGUUUAAGCAUGUAGGCUGGUUAUCCAGGCAAAUCCGGAUAAUCAAGGCUGAGGUGUGAUGACGAGGCACUACGGUGCUGAAGUAACAAAUGCCCUGCUUCCAGGAAAAGCCUCUAAGCAUCAGGUAACAUCAAAUCGUACCCCAAACCGACACAGGUGGUCAGGUAGAGAAUACCAAGGCGCUUGAGAGAACUCGGGUGAAGGAACUAGGCAAAAUGGUGCCGUAACUUCGGGAGAAGGCACGCUGGUGUGUAGGUGAAGCCCCUGCGGGUGGAGCUGAGACCAGUCGAAGAUACCAGCUGGCUGCAACUGUUUAUUAAAAACACAGCACUGUGCAAACACGAAAGUGGACGUAUACGGUGUGACGCCUGCCCGGUGCCGGAAGGUUAAUUGAUGGGGUUAUCCGUAAGGAGAAGCUCUUGAUCGAAGCCCCGGUAAACGGCGGCCGUAACUAUAACGGUCCUAAGGUAGCGAAAUUCCUUGUCGGGUAAGUUCCGACCUGCACGAAUGGCGUAAUGAUGGCCAGGCUGUCUCCACCCGAGACUCAGUGAAAUUGAACUCGCUGUGAAGAUGCAGUGUACCCGCGGCAAGACGGAAAGACCCCGUGAACCUUUACUAUAGCUUGACACUGAACAUUGAGCCUUGAUGUGUAGGAUAGGUGGGAGGCUUUGAAGCGUGGACGCCAGUCUGCGUGGAGCCAACCUUGAAAUACCACCCUUUAAUGUUUGAUGUUCUAACGUUGGCCCCUGACCGGGGUUGCGGACAGUGUCUGGUGGGUAGUUUGACUGGGGCGGUCUCCUCCCAAAGCGUAACGGAGGAGCACGAAGGUUAGCUAAUCCUGGUCGGACAUCAGGAGGUUAGUGCAAUGGCAUAAGCUAGCUUGACUGCGAGCGUGACGGCGCGAGCAGGUGCGAAAGCAGGUCAUAGUGAUCCGGUGGUUCUGAAUGGAAGGGCCAUCGCUCAACGGAUAAAAGGUACUCCGGGGAUAACAGGCUGAUACCGCCCAAGAGUUCAUAUCGACGGCGGUGUUUGGCACCUCGAUGUCGGCUCAUCACAUCCUGGGGCUGAAGUAGGUCCCAAGGGUAUGGCUGUUCGCCAUUUAAAGUGGUACGCGAGCUGGGUUUAGAACGUCGUGAGACAGUUCGGUCCCUAUCUGCCGUGGGCGCUGGAGAAUUGAGGGGGGCUGCUCCUAGUACGAGAGGACCGGAGUGGACGCAUCACUGGUGUUCGGGUUGUCAUGCCAAUGGCACUGCCCGGUAGCUAAAUGCGGAAGAGAUAAGUGCUGAAAGCAUCUAAGCACGAAACUUGCCCCGAGAUGAGUUCU
Molecule: ribosomal RNA, 1566 nt
Filed under: Klebsiella pneumoniae subsp. pneumoniae LZ
Lineage: Bacteria; Pseudomonadati; Pseudomonadota; Gammaproteobacteria; Enterobacterales; Enterobacteriaceae
Description: bacterial LSU rRNA
Rfam family: Bacterial large subunit ribosomal RNA
Source: RNAcentral